RNAcentral lists this ribosomal RNA (253 nucleotides) under uncultured bacterium. RNAcentral's name for it is "partial 16S ribosomal RNA". It matches the Rfam family "Bacterial small subunit ribosomal RNA", at positions 524 to 776 of the family's 1533-position model. The record is from RNAcentral.
UACAGAGGUGGCAAGCGUUGUUCGGAAUUACUGGGCGUAAAGGGCGCGUAGGCGGUUCGUCAAGUCCUGUGUGAAAUCCCCCGGCUCAACUGGGGAACUGCACAGGAAACUAGCGGGCUUGAGUUCGGGAGAGGGAAGCGGAAUUCCGGGCGUAGCGGUGAAAUGCGUAGAUAUCCGGAGGAACACCGGUGGCGAAGGCGGCUUCCUGGACCGACACUGACGCUGAGGCGCGAAAGCUAGGGGAGCAAACGGG